This is a non-coding RNA of Kogia breviceps (pygmy sperm whale), 245 nucleotides long. NCBI's taxonomy places the organism in Eukaryota, Metazoa, Chordata, Mammalia, Artiodactyla, Physeteridae. The record is from RefSeq and is a predicted model, not a curated record.
GCGCUGUUGUCAUGGUAACCAAUACCCGCCUCUUUGCCCUGGGAGCUUGCUUGCGGCCUGUUUCUUCAGGCCUUCAGACUUGGGUCUUGGACUGGAACCACACCACCGCUUUCCUGGACUUCCAGCUUGCAGAGGGACUUCUCAGCCUCCAAAAUCGAGUCUGAACUGCCAGAGGCACCAAGCCACCCAAAAUCUGUAUAGCGUGAGUCACAAACCAAACAAGUCUUACUGUGUCUGAAUUCCGG